AGACCUCGAACUAAAAAUUGAAAGGAAUAGAAUACUGAGAUCGAAGCCCUUAGAGGUCGGCCUCAGUAAUGGAUGAUUCCUCUCCCCCAGGCCUGAAAGAACUUCAACACCUAGAUGAGGAGACACAUGCGGUAGUGCUCCGAGGACCCACCUUAGACUCAGCCUGGGGAGAAAGCGGUCGAGAACUCCAAUCAUCUUGACUUUCACCCCGAUCCUCUCUAACGGAAGACAUUGCAAAGGAAAGGUCGAAAAGGAGAGGAAAAGAGGACAAGCUGACAUGAAGAAGAAGGUAAGAAAAUGAACCGAAAGACUCUGGAUGAAUAAGCUUCUAGAAAAACUAGAAUACUUGUUGGAGUUAGAGGAGAACGCACGACAGCAGGAUUGGAAUGCAGAAAACAACUGGCAACCAAGAAAGUAGGCACAAUCGAGGGGCAAGCCUGUGUAAACUAUGCUCCAACAACCUCGAUUGAAAUCCCAAUCUACAAGAUUUCUGCCAUGUAUCUCCAAUCCAGGCUGUCCAACCCCA
This 526-nucleotide long non-coding RNA is filed under the name Elaeis guineensis (African oil palm). RNAcentral describes it as "long non-coding RNA (EGUI_LNC023162)". Lineage: Eukaryota; Viridiplantae; Streptophyta; Magnoliopsida; Arecales; Arecaceae. The record is from RNAcentral.